Molecule: ribosomal RNA, 253 nt
Filed under: uncultured bacterium
Lineage: Bacteria
Description: partial 16S ribosomal RNA
Rfam family: Bacterial small subunit ribosomal RNA
Source: RNAcentral
UACGGAGGGUGCAAGCGUUGCUCGGAAUGACUGGGCGUAAAGGGCGCGUAGGCGGCUGUUACAGUCAGAUGUGAAAUUCCUGGGCUCAACCUGGGGGCUGCAUUUGAUACGUGAUGGCUGGAGUGGGGAAGAGGGUCGUGGAAUUCCGGGUGUAGUGGUGAAAUGCGUAGAGAUCCGGAGGAACACCAGUGGCGAAGGCGGCUCGCUGGGCUCUACCUGACGCUGAGGCGCGAAAGCGUGGGGAGCGAACAGG